GACACAUAACGGAGAGGAGUAGGGAAAUAAAGACCUGUCUGGUCCUUCCCCACUUCCCUAAUCCAUCUGUCUCCCUUGCUAUGUCUCUAAACCUUCUCCAGCCAGGACAUCGGAGGUACCCAGACAUUGUUAUGAAACUCCGCAUGUGCCCCUGGUGGACGCUGCUGGACCCAGCAUGCACACUUCUCGGCUAAGAGUCACCCUGGAUGAACCACCAUUGCCAGCGGGGAGCAUGUUGCAGCUUUCCCACGCAGUGGAUGAGAACGAAGGUUACGACCAUUGUGUGGGAGGCGUCUGUGUAGCAAUUGCUGGAAUCACUUGUGGCAUUGUAGAAAGACUGAGCGUGGGAAAGAAGACGCAUUCUGAAGUCACCCCGAUUUAUGUUAAAUUAUCACCUUGACUACUGCUAUAGAACGAAUGUUUAUGUCCCCCACCCAAAUUCGUAUGCUAAGACCUAAUAGCCAAUAAGAUAGUAUUAAUAGAUGGGGCCUUUGGGAGGUGAGUGGCUCAUGAGGGCAGAGUCCUCAAAACCAGAUAAGUGCCCGAAUAAAAGGGGCCCCAGAGAGAUCCCUUGCACCGUCUACCAUGUGAAGUGUAGAACACAGCGAGAAGGCCACCUAUGAGCCAGAACGUGGGCCCUCACCAGAACCCAGUUGUGCUGGCACCCUGAUCCUGGACUUCCAGCCUCCAAAAUGACGACAAAGAAGUUUGUUUUUCCUGAGCCAUCCACUUCAAAGUAUUCUGUCAUAGCUCCCCAAAUAGACUAAGACAUCUACUUAACCUUGGUCAAACGUUUAACCUUGGAGUCCACGCCUCUGAAAUGGUGACAAUAACACUGUGUAUUUCCUACUUUAUGAUCAGGAUUAAUAAAUGUAAUUUAUUAAUCAGAAAUUAGUAAUUUCUGAUUAUUAAUUC
Molecule: long non-coding RNA, 915 nt
Filed under: Homo sapiens (human)
Lineage: Eukaryota; Metazoa; Chordata; Mammalia; Primates; Hominidae
Description: long intergenic non-protein coding RNA 460
Source: RNAcentral